Non-coding RNA from Misgurnus anguillicaudatus (oriental weatherfish), 262 nucleotides. NCBI's taxonomy places the organism in Eukaryota, Metazoa, Chordata, Actinopteri, Cypriniformes, Cobitidae. The record is from RefSeq and is a predicted model, not a curated record.
CGCGGCUGAGGCGCUGCGCGGCGGAGGAACCAACAAGCGACGACUCCCGCCUGCGGACCCCUCGCCUGCCAGGACCCAGUGAUGACGCCGAAGACGGCACCGCACGCCGCUCGCCUUCGCUAUAAUCUUCUCCGACGUAUCUGCAAGACAUCCCAUCUGACGGUAACUCACUCUUUGUUCCUUUAUUUAUCUUUUACAGGUUAAAUGCAUUAUUUUUUCUAAUACAUGUUAUAAUAUCUAUUUCAAUAAACAGUUAUUACAA